This 1166-nucleotide long non-coding RNA is filed under the name Triticum aestivum (bread wheat). RNAcentral's name for it is "long non-coding RNA (TAES_LNC005558)". Lineage: Eukaryota; Viridiplantae; Streptophyta; Magnoliopsida; Poales; Poaceae. The record is from RNAcentral.
UUGGUUCUCCGAGGUCAUUCCUUCAGUGCCAUAUGAUCCACUUGCUCUCAGGAAGGCUUUUGAAAAGGUCAGACAAGACCAUUGCCUGAAACUCAAAAAUAACAAUUUUAAGAUCCACCAUGGUCUAACUGUGUAGUCUUCUUUCAGGCUGUCAUCAAGAGGCUUAUGACGGACGUUCCAUUCGGUGUUCUACUCUCUGGUGGCCUAGACUCAUCAUUGGUUGCAGCCGUUACAGUUCGUCACCUGGCAGGGACAAAGGCUGCAAAGCGCUGGGGGACUAAGCUUCAUUCUUUUUGUGUCGGACUUGAGGUAUGGAACUGAAAAAGAUCAACAAUGACUGUAACCUUUAGCAGAUUUCCAACAAAUUGCACCACAAUAUUAUUACGCAGGGGUCACCUGAUCUGAAGGCCGCAAAGGAGGUAGCCAAUUACCUGGGGACCAUGCACCAUGAGUUCACCUUCACUGUUCAGGUAGCAAGCAUGAGCAGCCGCAUGCUUCAUCUGUUGACCAUACCAGACUAGUUGUUGUACUAACAGCACAAAGCAUUGCAGGACGGCAUUGAUGCAAUUGAGGAUGUGAUUUAUCACACCGAAACAUAUGAUGUGACGACAAUCAGGGCAAGCACGCCAAUGUUCCUGAUGUCACGCAAGAUCAAGUCACUUGGCGUCAAGAUGGUCAUCUCUGGUGAGGGUUCCGAUGAGAUUUUCGGAGGGUACCUCUACUUCCACAAGGCACCCAACAAAGAGGAGCUCCACCGUGAGACAUGUCAAAAGGUGAAUAAGAAAGAAAUUUUCAGAAAAAUGGCAGAUUCAGACACCCUGACAUAAUGAUUACACUGUAGAUCAAAGCUCUGCAUCAGUACGAUUGCUUGAGGGCCAACAAGGCAACAUCUGCAUGGGGACUCGAAGCACGUGUGCCAUUCCUGGACAAGGAGUUUAUCAAUGAGGCAAUGAGCAUAGAUCCUGAGUGGAAGAUGGUAUGCUCAAGCUCAAACCUUACGAAUCUAGAAAUUUGAGAAAGAGCAUACCAUAUUGUUGUAAAAUGUCUUCCUAGUUUCUACUUUUAGACAAUUACUAUAUCUGAUGUUACAGAUCCGACCUGAUCUUGGAAGAAUUGAGAAGUGGGUGCUGAGGAAAGCAUUUGAUGACGAGGAGCAACCAUUCCUG